CUCCUGACGUCGUGAUCUGCCCGCCUCGGCCUCCCAAAGUGCUGGGAUUACAGGCGUGAGCCACUGCGCCCCGUUAAGAGUUCUUAUUGAAAUCAGAAUACCUUAUAGAAAUAGGGCUCUAAUCAGUCUUUUAAUUUCUAUUUUUGAAUUUUUAAUUCCAUUUUAUUUCUAUUUUUCUUUCGGCUACCGUCUCCUAAUCAAGGGCAGGGCGCACAGCGGGACAGGACAGCAAAUCACUGACUUCAGUCGCUAAAGCUUCAUCCUCCUUAACAAUGACUCUCCUCCGUCCCACCCCUCACCCCACUUGAGGACAUAUUCUGGAAUUUCCAAUGUUUGCUCCUGCAAUGCAUUUUCCAUCCUGGGUGACAGGAAGUGUCUGGUUCCAGGGCAAUGAAGCAGCCACAAGGCCUCUGUGUCAGCGCUGGAGAGAAACAGCUUCCGUCCUCCUGUCCCGGACCCUCCUGGAGGGAUGCUCCCAAGGCUGAGUGAGACGACACAGCCAUUUCCCGCAUGCUGCCCGGCACUGACCCGCCCGUAGCACUUGUCCCGGUGCUGGUCUGCAGCAGCAGUGAGGGGGACCCCUUUGUGUGAGGGCUGCACUGGCCAUCAUUCAGGAAAAAGCAGUAGAGCCUCUGCAGUCUUUGAAGGCCCUCCGUGCCUCCAGCGCAUCGGCCUUAGGACAACGCUCCUCACGGGGGUCUCUGAGGUCUGCCUGGAAGACACUCUUCCAGCCCACCGGGUCCUGCAGCCAAAGUGCGUGGUGUCCCCUGGCCCUGGAACGAGUAUCUGUGUGACCCCGCAGGUCCCUGUAGAAGCAGCCCCUCCCUCACGGAGCCUCGCAUUCCUUGUUGCUUUUCGGCUUUCUUACCUGGCCUCCACUGUCAAUCCUUGAGGUGGCCUGGUGCUCUAGGGACUUCCUACAUUGACGGGUGUGUGUUGGGUUUAGAAAGAAGCUAUUGUAGAACCGUCCAACGAUGGAGCCUUCAGGGGCGCCGUGGCCCCGGAGCACAUGGCGGCAAGCUGGAGAAGCUGGGCAGUGCCCAGGAGUUGGCACGUGGGGACUCGGUUCGCUAAGAGUUCGCUGAAAGCAAAUCCAUGUUUUGCAUGAGCAGCCUGUGUGUCUCCUGGCUCUAAACGGUGCCUUGUUUUGUCUGGCUGUGGCCGGGAUCUGUGAUUCCCUGGGAGGCAUUUCACCUCACUCAGAGUCACAACGUUCAAGCAAUGACAAGAACAGUGCCUAGAGUAGAAUACCAUCUAAAUUUUAUUUAUGUUCAUUUAUUCACUGUCAAUUGUCCUUUUUAUUUCACCAAAUUUCAAACUAUUAGAAACAGCGGAGGUUAUGGAACCCAGAGUCAGGCAGAUCCUCAGAGUUUGUCUUUAUUGGCAACGGUGAGCACAGAACUCACGUAUGUUUGUCUCAGAAAGAUCACAGAUGCACAGGUGCUUAGGAGAACUGACACCAAGCAUGUGGAAGGAAUUUAACUUCUUCAUGUGUUGGUGCAACUGAAACAAAUUCACGCCUAAUCUGGGGAGGCCUGCAUGAGCUACUGGAUUGGUUGAGGAAGAUGAGAUAAUGUGAGACCCUAUUUAAUAGAAAGAUUUUUUUACGUAUAAUUCUCCACAUAUAAUUUAGGGAAAAUAGUCAUUUAUUAAAGGACUCUCAGGGACUUGUAGUUGAGAAAAUGUCAACGAUUUGGGUUAAGGGACAUGUUCAUUAACUCUUGAGAUUUAUAGAAUAGUUGUGAGUGGCUGACAUUUACUGUCUACUAUUUAUGUUUCACAAGUAUGUAUGAUUAAUAAUUAAUAUUUACAAAGUACUUCCUCAAAAAUCUUCUGGUGCUCAUGACAAUCCUGUAAGGUAGAUAUCGUGGGUAUUUUAUAUCUACACUAUAUUUUAAAGCUAAAAGAACUAAAGCCAAAAUGAGUAGUUGGCUUGCUCAGGGCACCCACCCAGCCAGCAUGUGGAGGUGUCUGAAAUUAACCUCAGGCCUCUGAUUUCCAAAACCCAUCUCUUGCCCAAGGUCCCAGCUCACGACUGGAGCGUAAGCCUCUUUGAACAGAUCAUGGCUUAUGUAUGUAUUCACGUGUAAUCUCCACAGUAGCUAUGCUAGGCCGUUGCAUGUACAUGAAGGUACGUGAAGGAAUGGAUGGAAUUCUCUUACAUUAGGGAAGAAGCUAACCUCCCAGCUGAAUUUUGGCGUUAGCACGACACUUAGCGUUUUUCUUGGCUGUUAAAAUAAAGUGUAACAGGGUGGCAGGAGAGGAUGACAUACCACCACUAAAUAAAGGAAAUCAGACCCCCAAAGGUGUGUACUUGGCCUCUCUGUUUCUGUUGGUUCAUUGUCUUUUUCUGAUUCAAAAACAUAUUUAAAUUUUUGAAGUACUUAAAACAAAAAAACAAAUGCGAAUACCACAUACCCAUUCCUCAUGCCCUCACCAAAGGGAUCUGGGGCAAAUUAGAAUGUUGCUCCAUUUCCUUCAAAUAUUUAAUUUUCAAACAAUAAGUAAUGUGUAAAAACUGCAGCGAAACCCCUCCCUCCAUCACAGAGUUAGCCACAGUUCUGAAGUCAGGGCAGAUGUCUGUUAAGUUUUCCUAUAUUUACGUAUAUUUACAGGUACAUGCAUGUACCUGUAACACCACCAAGCAUCCUUUUACGUUUUCACGUUUUGAAUAAACGUCAUCAUUUUUCCAAUGUGCGUAUUCACUCAAUGGUACCUCAGGAUAUGUGACAAUUACUAGGAGAAUAUUUACUGAGCUCUUUGAUAAGACAGACUUGGUGUCAUUCACUCACGCAGGUCCUCCCACAGACGUGCGAGGAGUAAUCACUCCUCACCAGGGGCUGGGACAUGGACCCACCGGGGCUGUGCCCGCACCUCCACAUGCCCGUGUCUGCCCCGUGCUGCCCUUGACCGGGCCAUACCCCCACUGACCAGGCCAAAGUUCAUCCGCCCAUUCCUCUAAUGAUGGACUCUUAUGUUGCCGUCUCAAGCAAUGUUGCAGCAAACAUCCAUUUCUCUGUCUUUCUGUCCAGGCAAGCAAGACUCUGCAUAGAUACCCCCAUGUCUCUCCCAGGUGGCUGUAUGUGUUUCUUCUGUCACAAACUACCAUAGACUUGGGGGCUUAAAACACAGCAAAUUUAUCCUCUUACUGUUCUGGAGGGCGGAGGUCCACAGUCAUUCUCCCUGGGCUGAGGUCCGGGUGUUGGCAGGGCUGACUCCUGGAGAUUCUAGCGAAGAAACUGUUUCCAUGCCUUUUGCAGCUUCUAGAAGCCAGUGGCUCUGGGCCUCCUCUUCCACCGUGAAAGCCGGGAACAUCGGUGCCCGUGAUACUUGCCCUUGUGUGGGAGGAGAGCUCUGCUGCUGAUUCCGGGUGCCUGUCCCCCAUGACCAUCUUCUCACCGCUGUGGAUGGAUCUGCUCUUUCCCACUGGCCUGUGCUGACUCCGGCUCUCUGGGCAUCAGGUAUGUGUGGUCUCCACCUGGGGACAGAGCAAUUCUCUUUCACGGUUUAUUUCUUCAUCCUCUGUGCCACGUUAGUCAAUUCUGCAGCUUUUGAAAAAGGCUUGAUAAUGACUCUCAGCCAAAUAUCGCAGCUUUUCUUCUUCGAUGCUGUCUCGGCCAUUCCGGCUCUUUAUACUUGUGUGUGAAUCACAGCAUCAUCUUGUCCAGUGAAAAGCCUCUGCUUGGUUUCAAUGGAAUUGCAUUUAAAUUUAUGGGCUGACUUGGGGAAUUAUGACUAUCUUCAUGACAAGUCUUCAUGUCAGUUAACCUAGUUCUAUUAUAGGCACCUCAGCAAGUUUUUAAUUUUUUUUCUUAAAAUUAUGCCCAUAUUUUCUUACAUGUAUCCCUAUAUGCCUUUUCUGUAUAAUAAAUAAAAUUGGAGUUUUAAGUGAGGUGCAUGCACCUGUAUGUAUGUUACUGUGUUUAUUUUGUAUCCUGCAACCUUCUUAAAGCCUCUCAUUCGUUUUAGGAGUUUGCCUGUGGGUUCUGUUGGAUUUUCAGCGCCUGCAGUCAAACCAGGCAGAGUGGCUGUUUGAACCCAGUACAUAACACUCCUCUUUCCUACCCAGGUUCUGAAGCAAAAGCAAAGUCAAAAUUUAAGCAGCCAAAGGUUAUACCUUUGAGAACAUAUAUUGGAGAAAUAUAUAUAUUUGAGAAAAUACUGGUAUUAUAUCUGCGGAAAAGUGGGCUACCCAAUAUUGAGCCGUGAAUUCACAGAUUUGCCCACCUGAUCCUCACAAGAUCCUGCUGGGAUGAGGGCCUUGUCACUCAGCUGCCCACACGGCUCAGGAGAACAGUUUGAGUGGCUCCCAACAGCAGAGGAGAAGGAAAGGGCAGGGUUGCUGCCAGGGCCCGAGCACACGCUUGGGACUCAGUGCCAAAGGGCAGAUGCUGAGCUCCUUGUUCCACAAGCAGGGCCCGGUGCUGUGAAAGGCACUUGAGUAUAAAGCGUCUUCCUUUCAUUCUGCGGUUUCUUCCUCAACUUGUCAGGAUGUGUAUUUGCUAUUUAAUGUCAUUCAAAGUAUAGAAAAUUAAAAUUUUAAAUUACGGGCAUGAAUUUUGCUGUUUGUCUUUAUACUGCGGGCCAGUGUUACAAAAUUAUAAGUUGCGUGCAGAAUCAUUGAAGCUGCAGAAUCGCAGAAUCAUUGAGGCUGCACGGUGUGUCUGUAGCUCUCACGUGCAUUUGCAUUUUAUUCUUACCAGAACCGUGCAAUGCUCCAGGUGAACCUGGCAUGCACGCCCCACCUGCAGGCUGCACCUCCAGCUCGCUGACAGCAUGACUGUAAGUGCUGGAGCCACCACCACCAUGCUCAGCAGCACCCAGGAAGCAAGAGCAGUUGACAGAAUGUUCGUGAGGAUUCCUUUUGGUUUUUACUUUUUUAAAGCCCCUUCUAAUCUCAUAAUUUCUGUGACUUUGGGUAAAUACACUAUGAUCAUAAGGUAAGGAAAAGUUAACCUUUUUAGGUUAGGAAAAGUUCUAAUUCACAUGCAUAUAUAUUAUUGCAAAAUGGUGUGAACAUUUAAUAUUUUUUGAGAUCAUUGAUAUUUUUCAUUUACUAUGUUAAUAAGAUGAAUCCCAUUAACAA
This is a non-coding RNA of Macaca mulatta (Rhesus monkey), 5086 nucleotides long. The record is from RefSeq and is a predicted model, not a curated record. Lineage: Eukaryota; Metazoa; Chordata; Mammalia; Primates; Cercopithecidae.